GAUGAACGCUGGCGGCGUGCCUAAUACAUGCAAGUCGAGCGAACAGAUAAGGAGCUUGCUCCUUUGACGUUAGCGGCGGACGGGUGAGUAACACGUGGGUAACCUACCUAUAAGACUGGAAUAACUCCGGGAAACCGGGGCUAAUGCCGGAUAACAUUUAGAACCGCAUGGUUCUAAAGUGAAAGAUGGUUUUACUAUCACUUAUAGAUGGACCCGCGCCGUAUUAGCUAGUUGGUAAGGUAACGGCUUACCAAGGCAACGAUACGUAGCCGACCUGAGAGGGUGAUCGGCCACACUGGAACUGAGACACGGUCCAGACUCCUACGGGAGGCAGCAGUAGGGAAUCUUCCGCAAUGGGCGAAAGUCUGACGGAGCAACGCCGCGUGAGUGAUGAAGGUCUUCGGAUCGUAAAACUCUGUUAUUAGGGAAGAACAAAUGUGUAAGUAACUGUGCACGUCUUGACGGUACCUAAUCAGAAAGCCACGGCUAACUACGUG
RNAcentral lists this ribosomal RNA (497 nucleotides) under uncultured bacterium. RNAcentral describes it as "partial 16S ribosomal RNA". It matches the Rfam family "Bacterial small subunit ribosomal RNA", at positions 28 to 507 of the family's 1533-position model. The record is from RNAcentral.